CACUUGUUAGAAUCAAUAUUAAUAAUUUCAGAAUUAAUAUUUCAGUAUAAAAUUUAUAUUUUUGAUCGUAUUGAAAUAUAAAUAAGUUUUAUACAAAUAAGAUAAUUUCUAUUCAAUAUUUGUAAAAAUUAGAAUAUCAUGUAAUUGUCACUGAAGAGAGAGAAAAAAAUUAUUUCGAAAUAGUUAUACUUUAUAACUUACAACGAAAUACCUUUCUGCUCAUCUCGAAAUAAAAUGAUCCGUUUAGUCCGUGGAACAAUGUUACGCUGAAACACGCUUGCGCCGAGUACUAUACUGCGCCGAUCCAAAUUGCAAGAUGUAUAUUUUCUUUUAAUGCUAAUCUUUUCCGUAAGACUCUAUUUUUAAUGUAGCGCGACAUUAGCGAAAGUAGUGAAAUUACAGCACCUUUCGCUUCUCACCGCAUAACUAUAGAAAAUUGCUAAAUUAUAUGAUAUCUAGUAGGAAUUUCACAGAAAAAAAGAAAAUUCAGGAUAUUUAGUAAUAAGCCAAGUUCUAUUCGAAGCAUUUGCGACAUUUUCAUUCGUAAACAUACUCCAUCCAUCGUGCAAAAUGGUUUUUCUUGGCGAGCGCUAUUACAAUAUUUAUCGGAUAAUGUUGACGAUCAUCGGCUUGUGGCCGUAUCAGUCGUCGAUCAUUGUGCAAGUACAGACAGCGUUCUUCUUCGGUGCAUAUAGUACCUUUCUCUUUUCUCAGUUAACAAUAUUUUUAACGACAACUUGCAGCUUGGAAGUUAUUAUUAAAGAGUUGUCAUAUAUUUUUAUCACUAUGCUGUAUAUUAUCUGCUAUAACUCUUUUUAUUUUAAUGCUAAAGAAAUAAAGCAAUUAUUGGAACAAAUCAAAUUAGACUGGAAUACAAUCGAAGAUAAAGAUGAAAUUAAGAUAUUGGAGAAGUACGCCGUUGAAAAUCGUCUUCUUUCAAUGAUUUUGAUUAUUCUUUUUAGCUUUUCUAUAUUUUUUCUUCUUAUUGUCGAACUGAUACCGGUUAUUCUGGACACUGUUGUACCGAUAAAUGAAUCUCGACAACGCAAAUUACAAAUCGACUUUGAAUUUUUUAUCGACGAAGAAAAAUAUUUUUAUGUUUAUUUAAUACAUGAAAUCACAGUGGUAUUGAUCGGUGUUUUUACGAUGCUUGCAACGGGAACAUUACCAAUUGCAUUCUUUAGACACUGUUGUGCAAUUUGUAAAAUCUCCAGUAAUUUAAUUGAGAAUACUGUGACUAAGCAAACUCUUCAAGUUUCUUCUCACCGGAAAAUAUAUAUAAUGUAUCAAAAAAUUAGUCGUGCUGUUCAUCUCCACAGAAAAUCUAUUCAGUUAACCAAAUUCUUUAUGAAAACUAUGAACAAAUGGUAUUUUGUUUUGCUGAUGAUCUGCGCAGCAUCUUUAAGUUGCAAUCUUCUUCGACUACUAAAUGCGGCAACAGUGUUAAAUGAAUUUUCCGAAUUAAUAAUUUGUUUCGGUACAGUAAUGGGCCAUUUUCUAACUAUGUUCAUACCUAAUUUCAUUGGACAAUCAUUUAUCGAUCACCAUGGAGAGAUGUUUUAUGCUGCAAUGUUUAUAUUAUAAUGUUAGAUGUAAUAUACGAGGGUAGGUUGAACAAUUUUCGGCCUGACGAAGAAAACGCACAUGAUUUUUAGCUUUUUUUUAUUUUUCAACAUAAUCCUCUUUCAGCUCAAUACACUUAUUCCAACGAUAUUUUAACUUUUUUAUGCCAUCUGUACGAUUUCUCUAAACCUUCAAAAUGAGCAUUAGUUUCAUCGAUUACUUCAGUAUUUGAGACAAAUCUUUUUCCAGCGAGCCAUUUCUCCAUGUUUGAAAGAGGAAUAAAGUCACGGGGGGCUAUGGUGAAUAUGGUGUGUACAAAAUCAACCCGACACGCAAUUUAUGCAAUUUUGCGAUUGCAAUUGAAGAAGAGUGAGCUGGUGCAUGAUGAUGGAAAAGCACUUUUUUUUCUUUGCCAAAUAAGGACGUUUGGUUUUAAUAACAUCGUUCAAUUGAUCCAGUAAUACUCUCCGUUGAUGGUUUUUGCUUUUUUCCAGAUAAUCGAUGAGUUCAAUACCAUGAAAAUCUCAAAAAGUCGCCAUCCUUUCCGGCUGAUGGAACUAUUUUCGCCUUCUUUGGAACAUUUCCACCUGCUUCUACCUAUUGUUUUGAUUGUUGUUCCAUUUCUGGUGUGUAAUGGUGAAUCCGUUUCAUCAACAGUGAAAAAGCACUGAAAAACAUUAGUUGGAUUGCAUUUAAACAUGUCUAAACACUCCUUAGAAAUGUUCAUUCGAAUGCAUUUUUGAUCGACUGUUAGCAAACGCGACACUGAUCUCGCUAAAAGCUUUUUCAUGUACAAAUGCUUAUGUAAGAUGUUGUGAACGUGAUCAUUUGAGAUGUUUGCAAUGUCAGCAAGCUCACAGACUUUCACUCGUCGAUCAUUCAACACGGCAUUAUAUUUUUUCAAUGAUUUCAUCAAUCGUAGCGAUUUUUGGGCGACCUAAACAUUCAUCAUCAUUUAUGAAUGUACGAUCACGUUUAAAUUCAGCAGCCCAUUUCUUAACAAUUGAAAAUUGAUGGUGAAGACUCUCUCAAAGAAAUGAAUCAAGUUUGGUUUUUAUUUCUGUUGGUGUUAAACGAAGUAUUUUAUCAUUGCACAAUUCAACUUUAUCCAUUUUGAAAAAAAUCAAAAAUUGUUUGCUUUACACGAUCGAAAUAAAGAAAUUAAUGAACGCAUCUGAAAUUCUGACAGUAGCUCUCUGCAGGAUCAAAAUUGUCAAAAAUUAUAGCACUUUGAUACUUCUGUCGUCAUCUCCAUGUUAGGCCGAGAGCUUCUCGAACUACCCUCGUAUUUGUCAUCAUAAUGUAGUAGUUGUAAAUAUUUAAAUUAUUUCUUGCAGAUUUUGAAGUUUGUAUAUUUGUGUAUUCAUCACAUACAGUUGGAAUGAAUAAAAUAGGAAUUUCAUAUAAUAUUUGAACACAACGUUUGAACAAUGUUACUAAAAGUAACUUUCACAAAUUCUAUUAAUUUGUCAUUUUUGUAAAUGUUUAGGUAUAAUACAAUGUGGUAUUUAGCACCGUUACCGAUACAAAAAUUGCUGCUAUUUGUAAUGCAAAAUUCUAUGAAGGCUCACGCACUACUCCUUGGUGGUAUUUACGUGUCAUGUCUAGAAGGAUUUUCUACGCUUGUAACCACAUCAAUAUCGUACUUUACAGUAAUGUACAGUAUGACGACGAAACAAUAAGAAAAUGUUUAUUCCUUGUAGAAAUUUUAACGUAGAUAAGUUUGAAUAAAUUAAAACUGGAAGAAAUAAUUGAAAAUUCUUAGGUAUGUGAUUGUUUUCUUAAACCCACAAUUGCUUAAAUAAAACAAUUAUUUAAGUAUAAAUGUAAAUAUCUUUACAAUAUUUUACAUACAUCUUAUAAAUAUAUUAUAUAAUAUAUAUCUAAAUUAAAUAUUUCUUAUUAAUGAUUGCAUAAAAUUUUGUUAGAGAGCAAGAGUCAGAGACCAACAUUAAUAUAGUGAAAGUAAAAUUUUAUUUUUAGCGUUUGUGGCACAUCUAGAAAAGAGACUAUAUAGCCGAAAGUGUACUGAUGUAAUUUACUUUAAAGCACGGAAUCAAUAAAUAAAUAUGAUUAAAAA
Ooceraea biroi (clonal raider ant) is the source of this 3643-nucleotide RNA transcript. RefSeq lists it as uncharacterized. The record is from RefSeq and is a predicted model, not a curated record. Lineage: Eukaryota; Metazoa; Arthropoda; Insecta; Hymenoptera; Formicidae.